This 991-nucleotide long non-coding RNA is filed under the name Nicotiana benthamiana. RNAcentral describes it as "long non-coding RNA (NBEN_LNC012812)". The record is from RNAcentral. Lineage: Eukaryota; Viridiplantae; Streptophyta; Magnoliopsida; Solanales; Solanaceae.
UCUAUAUACAUCAAAUAUACAGAAUCAAUAUACAAUUACACAACUAUUGAAAUGGCUUAGAAGCCAUGUAAUCUUGUAAGUCAACACCCCCCUUCAAGUUGGAGGGGGACACCACCUUCAACUUGGACAGCAGCGGAUGUAGGGCAGUGCCAGUAAGAGGCUUCGUGAGUAAAUCAGCCAGUUGCCGAGAAGUAGAUACAUGAAACAACUUAAUGAAGCCUGAGUUGACCUGAUCACGCACAAAGUGACAGUCCACCUCAAUAUGUUUUGUGCGUUCAUGAAAAACAGGAUUAGUAGCAAUAUGGAUGGCAGAUUGACUAUCACAGUAUACAGAAAUUGGAAGAGAAACAGGAACACCAAGAUCAGAUAACAAGCGAGAUAACCAGGAAAGUUCAGCCACAAGUUUGCUCAAAGCCCGAUACUCUGCCUCAGCAGAUGAUAAAGAUACAACAGGUUGUUUCUUAGAUUUCCAGCUGACCAAAGAACCACCCAGAAGAACAGAAAACCCAGUAACAGACCUUCGGGUAUCAGGGCAAGCAGCCCAAUCACUGUCAGAAUAACCACUCAAGGAAAAGUCAUCAUUGGCAGAGUAGAAGAGGCCCAUAGAGGAAGUGCCUUUAAGAUAUCGCAACACAUGCGGCAUUCAUAUGAGGUACUCGAGGACACUUGAGAAACUGACUCAAAUGUUGUACAGCAAAGCAGAUAUCAGGUCUGGUAUGUGUCAAAAAUAAAAGCUUACCCACCAAACUCCUAAAUUGAUCAGGAGAGGGUAAAAGGUCACCACAAUCAGCAAGAAGUUUGACAUUUGUAUCCAAAGGACAGACAACAGGAGAUACACUAGAACAGUCAAACUGAUGCAACAGAUCAGAAAUAUAUUUCUGCUGAUUGAGGACCAUUCCACCAGGAACAUGAGACAUCUGAAUCCCCAAGAAAUAAUGCAAGGACCCAAGGUCCUUGAUUUUAAACUGAUCAUCAAGAAACAGUUGCANNN